AGUGAACGCUGGCGGUAGGCCUAACACAUACAAGUCGAACGGCAGCACAGUAAGAGCUUGCUCUUACGGGUGGCGAGUGGCGGACGGGUGAGGAAUACAUCGGAAUCUACUUUUUCGUGGGGGAUAACGUAGGGAAACUUACGCUAAUACCGCAUACGACCUACGGGUGAAAGCAGGGGAUCUUCGGACCUUGCGCGAUUGAAUAAGCCGAUGUCGGAUUAGCUAGUUGGCGGGGUAAAGGCCCACCAAGGCGACGAUCCGUAGCUGGUCUGAGAGGAUGAUCAGCCACACUGGAACUGAGACACGGUCCAGACUCCUACGGGAGGCAGCAGUGGGGAAUAUUGGACAAUGGGCGCAAGCCUGAUCCAGCCAUACCGCGUGGGUGAAGAAGGCCUUCGGGUUGUAAAGCCCUUUUGUUGGGAAAGAAAAGCAGCAGGUUAAUACCCCGCUGUUCUGACGGUACCCAAAGAAUAAGCACCGGCUAACUUCGUG
RNAcentral lists this ribosomal RNA (492 nucleotides) under uncultured bacterium. RNAcentral's name for it is "partial 16S ribosomal RNA". It matches the Rfam family "Bacterial small subunit ribosomal RNA", at positions 29 to 507 of the family's 1533-position model. The record is from RNAcentral.